UCCUACGGGAGGCAGCAGUGGGGAAUUUUGCGCAAUGGGGGAAACCCUGACGCAGCAACGCCGCGUGAGUGAUGAAGGCCUUCGGGUCGUAAAGCUCUGUCAGAGGGAAAGAAAUGUAUAGUGGUUAAUACCCAUUAUACUUGACGGUACCCUCAAAGGAAGCACCGGCUAACUCCGUGCCAGCAGCCGCGGUA
Molecule: ribosomal RNA, 194 nt
Filed under: uncultured Desulfuromonadales bacterium
Lineage: Bacteria; Pseudomonadati; Thermodesulfobacteriota; Desulfuromonadia; Desulfuromonadales
Description: partial 16S ribosomal RNA
Rfam family: Bacterial small subunit ribosomal RNA
Source: RNAcentral